CCUGGGGCCCGCAGCCCCCACGGAGCAUCAGCACCCCGCAGCCCCGAGGGGCGGCCGCCGCUGCCCCGAGCCGGUACCGGCCCUCAGGGGCCGCCCCGCCCGCGCCGCCAUCUUCAACGGCCCCGCCGCCCUCACACAGGACCAAUUGUUGGAAUCCAGGGCUACAUAAACACCAAAUAUUAUUAAAAUAGACAUAAGAAGCUGUCAUAGAAUGGAGAUAUUUUUGGAAAGUCCUGAGUGUCUUGGGUGAAUGGAAGGAAUAAGGGACUCUUUGGAUACUGCUACUUUAUUGUUAAUGUAAAAAGCACGGGGAAACUAUGACCAAAGUCACUGCACAAACCAAGACAUCGCAAGCAUAGCUUGCAAGUGUCUUUACUGAUUGAGAAGCUAAAAUUCUUUUCUGCCUAUGAAAGCUGGAAAAAUGUUCAGAAACCACUAUCAGGGGGGCCGGUUUGUUGAAAUAUUCAGUGCUCAAGGCAAGAACCCAGGAGCAAAUUGGAAGAUUUUUGGCAACCCAUCAGCUAUAUCAAAAGAAUACGACAAAGAACUAAAAGGCUUUGUUUUUGUACUUGAAGGAAACAGUCUAAUCAACAAAAUGAAGCUACCAAGGGAAACCAAACAAACUUUGGGACUGGUGCAGCAAUUUCUGACACUUCAGAUUUUUGUGCCAUUGGGAAAAGACUUCUCCACUGAGUUACUGAUAACUGAUUUUGACAAUAUUAAAAGAAGAUUGUAUUUGUCAACGGUCCACAAGGAGCUGUCUGUAACCCCUCUGCAUGCAAAAAUUCCUCUGUUUAUGAUCAAGCGCAAAAUAUGGUGCAAUAUGUGUAUUGACUUGGUAACGUUUACCUAUAAAAUAUUCAGAGGAGCUCUCUUCCAGUCCUUGGAUGGAAUUACUAUUUCAGCCAACUGUAAGCUAAGAAAGGUCUUCACUUUAAAAUUCAAGCCUCCAGUUACAGCUGAGGAAGAUGGUACAUGCAUUGUUUCACCUCGGCCAUAUGAGGCCUGGGAUGAUAUUCCACUAACCUGCCAGCUCAAUUCUGAUGUCCCACAAGUUACACAAGUGCUGGAUCUAAAUGAAAUUCACAAACCAAAAAUAAAAUGUAGGGAAAAUGCAGUGCAAGAAACAGGUAUCUUAGGUAAUAAAGACCAAGGCAACAUAUGCAAUGGUAAAACUCAGGAUGUAUCACAUAUUGCAUUUGGGUCAAAGAUCCUUGGGCCACCUCCAUCUUCAAACAGAAGAACCAAUGCAAAGGUACCUGGAAAGGUAAAAAAGACCUUGGGUAGCAAAGCAUCAUGCCAACUUCAAAAUUCAGGAAUGCCAACUGAAACCAUACCAGAAAAUGAGAGAUUGGAGCUGCCACUCUGGCCACGCAAUGAUACUUUAGAUCAAGGAGGCAAAAGAAGCACUCUCCAAACAACUGCAAAUGAAUAUCAAAAUGACCCUGAAAUUCAGACUCAGAAAACAUCUGUAAGUGGAGAAGCAGAUUUUCAGCUCACCUCGCAACAAGUACCAUCACCAGACAAGGACAGUCAUAUAAGAUUAUCUCUAAAAAAUGCAGCCAAACCCACAUGGGAGAUAACCAGUGAUGAAUGGAUGUUUCCAGAGAGGUUGACUGAGAAUAAUCAGUUGGAUAGGAAGGAGCAUUUUGAGUCUACUGGAAGUUCAGCCUGCUCUAAUUUACCCUCAGCCCAGAAUGCCUCUGUUGAACAUCCCAAGAGGGAAACAGCUGAUCAUCAAAGGAGUAAGAAAGAGGUUUUCACAUUUUCAUCAAAACCUCGAUCAGCUCCUUAUGGAAAGUCUCCCAAUAUAUCACCAGAAAGUUACAUUUUCCCAUUGGAACUGGAGCUCGACAGUAACAGAGAACAUGAGCAAACCACAACUGAAGAUAGCUUUGAAGGAACUGACAGCAGUGAGGAGGUUGACAGCACUGAGGAGGAUGACAACAGUGAACUCAUCCAGAGUGCUGAGAACAUUGAGAACAGCCAGAGUAGACAAGGAACAUCUGAUUCAGCAGUUUUUAAAGAGAUCCCAUUAAAUAAGAUGUCACAGGGAAAUGAGUACUGGAAGAAUAAGGAACACAGCAAAUAUAACUUUGAAGAGGUCGUCUUAUCAAAACCACAGAGUUCCACCAUGAGAAAAACAGAAUCUAUUGGCUUUCAGAGAAGUUUAAAGCCUAUCUUGUCUCUUUCUCCAAUUCAAAGUAAAUCCAAAUCCUUUAGAGUAAUUAGAAAUGUAUCUGAAGAAGCUGAAAGAUAUGAAGGAGUUUUAGAUCAAUUCGAAAGAUCUGUCAGUGAAACAUCUCUCAAGAAAGUUUCAAAUGGAAAUUCAUGUCUGACAGCACAGACUUGUGAGUAUGACAGAAAAAAGUUCCAGUCAAAUAGACUGAGUUCAUCUGAACUACAGAUGCUGGCCAGCAUGAAGAGACAACAAAAUGAAGAAUUAUGGGAUGCUGGGAUCUCCCCUGGGCUGAGCGCCGCACAGAUCGAUUGCUGCAAUGCCAACCUAAGUAUAAGCAGUGAUGAUGAUACAGCAACCUGGAACUCUUGUUUCUCACCACCCGUCAGUCAGCAGCAUGACUAUCAGAAAGAAAUGAGCCCACUUUCUCAUUCCAGCCCACGAUGUUUUCAGCCACUUGUCUCACUGGAUUCAAGAUCUUCUGAUUAGAUUUUAUAAAGUAAACCACCUGAAACUUUCUGUGCAAGUUCACCCAGUUGCAUCAGUUAUUACAAGACACAGCCAUAUAUUUCCAAUAUUUUACUGGAGUUCAUGAAUAAUCCUGGAUUCCUGUUCCCUUUCACAUGUAAAUCAAGGGACUGGUUAAAUGUGUUCAGUCCCCCUGUCAUUCCUGGAAGCCAACAACGAGAAGCGAACACUAAAUCUUCAGCAAAAUAGACAACUCCAGAUACUCAGAAAACCCCGCUGUGAUGAAGUGAUCAUUUCUCCAAGAAACAAGAGAGAACAACAAAGCCAUGCCAUGACCUUCCCUCCCCAAACAGGACAAUUUGGAUUUUUUCUGAACUACUGGACUCCCCUCUCUAUGCAAGUGGCAGAGAAGCUGCAGUGCUGUGUGAAAAAGCCCAGUGAGAUUGGAUCACCCCCACCAAACAUCAGAAUCUGGGUAUUCUCCUAGAUACCUUGGUUUAAAAAAUCCUGAUGGACCGUGGUAACUAGAUGGUUUGGAGCAUCAUUUUUGAAAGAGGUGCCAAAUAAAUUGUGUCCUGUGAUAUGUCUUAAA
RNA transcript from Passer domesticus (house sparrow), 3239 nucleotides. It is a transcript of the gene named CFAP20 domain containing, with no coding region annotated. The transcript is spliced from 19 exons. The record is from RefSeq and is a predicted model, not a curated record. NCBI's taxonomy places the organism in Eukaryota, Metazoa, Chordata, Aves, Passeriformes, Passeridae.